UCGGGGGGGCUGAAGGGGCAGCAGGCUCAAGGGCAGGUCAGACCUAGCUUUGGGAUGGGGACAGGUCUGGGGGGCACUGGGGAGUAAGGCACGUGUGGGGAAGAAGCAGAGGUUCAGAGUCCCGUGGGGUGCGGGGCUGGGCGUGGUGGGCUCAAGGCGGGGUCAGAAGGGCCUGGAGGUCAGGGCAGGUCCGAGGGCGCAGGAGGAAUAGAGGGUGGUCAGACAGGGCUGAGGGGCAACAGAAUGUCGAGGUGGGCUACGGGGGCAGGCACAACGCCCAGCCUUGGGGUGAGGUCAGGGCUGAGGGUCACCAGGGUGGGGGCAGGGGGUGAUCACAGGUGGCAGGACAGCAAGGGUCAGGGGGGCAGAGGGUGCUGGGGCAUGACAGGCACUAGGAGGGAGUCAGAUCCAGCCAGGGCCAGGGGGGUAGGGCAGCGCAGGCCUAGGGACAUGCCACCACCAUGGGAACGGAGGUUGACCUACGCCCUGCCCCAGAUGCCCCAGAGAGGGCAUGCAGGUAUAACAUCCAUGCACCCCCAGUUCUUCACCUCCUCUCCAGUCUCCAUCUUAUACACCCACGAGCAAUCUCGCUCCCCAAACCACCCUCAUUCCCCCAAGUAGAGGGUGCAAGGGCACCUCAGCACCCCCAAAUCAUCCCCACUCCAUCCUUUCCCCCUGGAAAUACCACCUGGAAUGGGCCAGGCCCCUGGUUCAGGGCUGAUCCAACAGGUAUAUCAUCUGUGAGACACAACCCGGGUGCCUCAGCAGCCUGCAAGACACACAGUCCACUCUUGCCUUUCCAAGGCCAAACUGCCACCACAGUUGGGAAAACAGGCCCCAAAAUUAAUAAAGAUAGGGCUUGUUCCAGCUGGAAUGGAGCAAUUCCAUUGCAGUUCAUUCAGCUCAUUGCAGGCAGCAGGGGCAGGACCCAAAGCGCUGCGGGUGUUGCACCCACUCGCUCCAAGGCUGAAUCAGCUUUCCUAAAAGCAAACAAGCAGGAGAGGGUUGUUGGGAAAGGAAGUGGCCAGGCCUGUCCAAGGGGAGGCAGGCGCGGAUCAGCAAUGGCAGCAGACGUUCGUGGAGCUCGAUAAAGGAUUUGCCAGGGCUGGGAACACAUCCGUCACCUCCCCUUCACUACGUGACAUCGAGCGAUUUAUGACUGAACUGGAACCGACUAGUUUGGCAAAAGGGAUGUGGAGAGGAGCCGGCAAAGCAUCAUGGAAAAACUGCUUCUGCGAGGUGAUGGGGGAAAUUGUGUUAUUUUAAAAUUGCUAAUUUAUUGUACUUUGUUAAGCUGGUGCAGCAAAUGGCUCUGGGAGUGCUGCCUGCUUGUGCAAGCUGCUUUUCCUGUGCUUUAAUCUGUUUUUUUUUCAGCACAAGAGCCACUCCAGUUUCAGCUCCUGCUCUGUAAGUCACAUUUUCAGCAUGAUCAGUGGCAGGAAUUUGUAGAAUAAAUAAUUAAAUAAAUAGUUGUUUGUGUCUGUGUUGGGUUGUGUUUUUAAAGAAAAAAAAAUCCUGGAGUAAAUAUUCCAUCAGCUGGUAGUUAAUUACAGCCAUUUAGGGAACGUUAAUUAGGACCACUUGCAGUGAACAUUGUUCAAGGAGGUUUAAAUUUCAUUUGUGCAUUUCAGUUUGAUUUUGGGUGGAGAGAGGAGGAGUUGUGGGAGCUGUUACACCUAAUAAAGGGACUGACUUACUGAACCCCCCAGCUCUUCUGGACUCCACUGCCCUAAGAAACACCUCCAACUUCAAAGGGAGCAGUUCACCCCCUCAGAGUGCUGGAACUCGACACCAGUAACAGCCAAUCUAUGGUACUGUCCCCCACCUCUGUGUUUUAGGGGUUAUGGGGGAUCAUUUUGGUCUAAUUUUUCCUGUGCUUUUUGACAGUACUUGAUGGGGCACUUACUCCUCCUUCUCCAUACAUUGCCAGGGACUGCAUUGCCAGGUAUCACAAUGCCAUCAGUAUUUCCAUGUAGGCCACCAGAAGAAACUUUUGCUGUCACAGGAUUACAAAAUGGUUUAUGUUGGAAAGGUCCCUAAAGCCCAUCCUGUCCCACCCUCUACCACGUGCAGGAACAUCCACCAGACCAGGUUGCUCUAAGCCCCAUCCAACCUGGCUUUUUACACUUUCAGGAAUGGAGCAGCCACAACCUCUGUCAUUUCCUGAUGGUCGUUUGCUCACUGUCAUUUUCACUGAAAUCACAGACCAAUGUCCCUCUUCUCCUUCCCUCCAGCAGGACCAAAUUCCCAGUGAGAGCCUCCUGGAGAAUCCACUGCAGCCAGGAAUGUUUUCCAAGACAUCCCUUGAUGCACCGCUGAGUUCCAGGCCUGUCGGAGGACCCAUGGCAAUAGCCCUGGGCUCUGUCAGGUCAGCCUAGAACAGGUGGUGACAUCUGAUAAGGAACAGAUAAACUGAGGUUGCACUAUCUUCCUCCUGUGACUCCCCCUCUCCUGCCCUGUAUUCCUCUGAAAUAAUUGGGGUUUCUCUUCUCACUCUCAAAUUCAGGAUUGGGGCACAUCCACUUCAGCACAUUCUGUAAAGGCAGCCCUUGUGUUUUGCAGUCCAAGUGCUCUGCUAGCUCAGCUCUGCUCCUGGAUGUCCAGCAGCUCAUCCUCAGCUGUAGUCACGUCCUUCCUGACACUCCUCUGCUGCACACUCAACUAUGGUCCUCUCCACCUUCAUCCUCCAAAGAGAGCUCAGAGCAACACUUCCAGCUGCAAUUUUCUUUCCAAGAUGCCAAAAUUGCACCUCACAACAGACAUGGCAGCUGGUCCCUUUAUGGCACAGAGAGGGAAGGAAUCGACAAGUUGUAACAGUAUUUCUGGCAGUAAGCAAGAAUUUCAGAGCAGCCUUUAAGGGUCCCACUUGCUGUCAGCAGAGUACAGGACACAGCUCUGAACAGGGAUGCACUGCACAGUCCAGCCUGGUACAACACUUCCAACUGUGCUGUGCUAGCACAUGUGAGAUUGGGCUCCCUGGAACAGCAAAGGUCUCUCAGGUAAAAAUAUAAUUAUCAGCAUUGACAUAUCACACUUGGGACUACUUUUUAUUACACGUUCUCUCCUGGGAACUGAUCCCCCAGGUUUGGAUUCAGCAGAGAAUUGGUGGAGUGUUUUUUUGUUUAUGUUGGUGGUGUUUUUUUUGUUUUGUGAGUUUGUUUGUUUGUUUGUUUUUUCAAUAAGGAAAGCCAACUUAUCACAAGGUGCUUCUGGUCAGAAAGGUUAGUUUGUUUCUGUUCUUACAGGGAAAGGUUUCCUCUUCAAAGUGGCUAGAAUGUGUAAAUAGUUCAUAAUUUUGUACAGGAAAUUUUCUGAUUCAAUUAAAAAUUCUAAUGUCAACUUCUAAGAUACUACUUCCAAAAGCUUAUAAAGCCUCAAAAUGAAAGCAAUGUAAUGUUAGAAAUCAAGAUUCUGUUGACCUCAACUUGGUUUUUCCCAUCAUAUUACAGUUAGGGAGCAAUUUCUGAGUGUUUCACAUUCUGGCCCAGCAAGAGAAGAGACUAUUUGGAUCUCCAAGAAUUCUCAUGUAGGAAAACUCCUCCUCCCAGCCCACCUGAGUGAUGUAUGAAACUAUUCUGUUUUCCCUUUUUCUCAUUAACUUUUUAAGAGCCCCUAAGCUUUGGUCCUUUCAGAGGAGGUCGUUGUGAGCAACAGAGUAUAUACAUGACUGACCAAAUAUUAUCUCAUCCAUGGGGACAAGCCAGCCCUCCUCCAGCAUCAGCUCUGCCAGAUCACUCCUGUGCACAUCCUGCUCUCCAGGUCUCCCAUCAACCCGUGAUAAUGCCUCUGAUUACAUUACUGUGGUAUCUCUCCUCUUGUCUCAGCCUCCUUGGAUGUCAGUAAUAUGCCUAGUACACAGCACUUGUAUCAUGUUUGAAGAACUACUCAGCUGCCACAGCCAUUUUCUUUGUCACUGGAGCUUGGAGCUCCCCUCCACAAGCACAGCAUACUCAGCAAAACAGCAGCAAGCCCUGCCUUCCCACCACAGCUUCUCUGCUAACCCACAGGCUUGUGGAAUACACUAACUGCAUUCUUCCAAGCAUUUCUGUACUGCCAUAAGGUCUGGAAAUCUACUGAUAUAAGGUACAGAACAGAAGAGCUGAGAUUCCUCAGUGGUACUAGGACACAGGCAGCUGGGGACUGGAGAAAACAACAAAUAGCCUGAACCUUUAUAAUGUAAAAGCUGGCAUAACUGAUCUCAAAUCCAAAUAUUUUAUAGCACUGGGGAAAAAAAAACUCCAACCAAAAUCCACAAGAGUACAACACUCAACAGGCUUUUUAAGAUUUUAGCACCACGGGAUGAUGUCACCUCCAGGCAUCACAUCCUGAAGAGGCCUACCCUUGUCUGCACAGUAGAUAUUGUUAGACCUAAUGAGGCAUGAGCUGCCAGUGAAGAUUUUUCUAGGCUUGGGGCAUUCAAAACAUGUCCAUUCAAAACAUGUUGCCCUUGUGCGGAUUCUUGUCUGCUAAGGGUAGGGCUUCUGCCACACUAGGAACAUUAAAAGUGUCUUUCCUCAUUUUCUUUAGGGAGACAACCAGUAUUUGAGUGCCUCAGAGAUAACAUGCCAUUGCUUGACUCCUUCCUGAGGCCAUUCCAGAGUCUCCACCCUCCUACACAAUGGAGUUUAUCUCUGAGGUUGUUCCUGCCCCUCCCUCUGUCUACACCUUCAGGUAUCCCAUUAUGGAGGCUUUGAUACCCAAACCCAGUAGGAAAGCAUCCAGGUCACUCAGCCUUCACAGAAGCAGCAAGCCAUGUGCAGUCUCAGAGCCCUGAUCCAAGGCAACCAGUGUCCUGCUGCUGGAGGAGGAACGCAGCUGUGUGCAGGCACCUGGAAUCAUGCAGCCACCUGGAACUGCGGAGCUGCCAUGGCCCAGCUGAGGGGAAACAAGCCUUGCAGGUAGGAAAGGAACAUCUCUGCCAUCCCAAAGCACACGGUACCGGAAGGAAACAUCCCUGGUUCUGCAAGCAUUUUUAACAAUGUGAUCCUCCUGAACGUGCCAGCAAGUCCUUCCCUGUCCUUGCUCACUCCUGGAUUCCCAGAAUACAAGAGGACUUUAUUCUCAACAGGGAUUGCCCCCUGCUUCUCUUUCUCCUGCAUAAAAUGGGCAAAACUGUGGGAAGAGAUGGGACAGAGUUGAGCUGCAGGCCAUGGCACACACCCGCAGGAGCACAUGGAGCACAAAGAAGCACAUGGCAGCACAGAGAGGCUUGUCUCUGCCUGACCUUGGGGAGAGGAGGUGCCACGUGGCAGAGCCCUGCAGAGAGCAGCCUGCCAGAAGCUGACAGACGGGUGAACAGCCGUGACCACCCCACAGAAGGAUAGUAAGAAAGCGUGUUGCUGACGUGGCCAUGGGUGAUAGGUCACUUAGUGAGAAUUACCAUGUAAGGAAAUACUGUGUCUUGAAGAAGUGUAUAAAACCAGCUUGUUUCUUUGAAUAAAUGAUUCUGAUUUCUUGCUGGUCUGAGUCCAUGCCUCAGUUGUUAAAAAUGGCAUCCCAAAUUGUGACUUGAUGGGCAACUAGUGGUUGUACCAGUAUGGUUGCACCAAUGCUCGGCUGAACUUUACAGGCGGCUGAAACAAAGCCUGGGAGCUGAACCAAUGCUCAGGAGCUGAAACGAAGCUCAUGGUGCCAAUCAACUUUUCUUCAACUGAGGGUAGCAGCUGAGAACGAUGGGGGAUGAACAGAAUGUUGCAGAGACGUUAGAAGAGAUUUUAAAAAAGCACAUUAGGAAAGUUGAAUCUACAGAUUUGGACAUUCUUCUUCUGGGCAAAAGACUGUGAUUCAACUUCAGAUGACACCAGUAUUUUUGACCCUCGGACAUGGGACACUUUUGGGGAUGCACUGUUAUAGGGACGAAGUUAUGCAAGUCAAUGCAGUGCUGACAAAGCUUUUCUGUCCAAGGUGGACUGUGUGCAAGGCACUCAUGGUGCAUGCGGCACCCGCAGACCAGACAAAGAAGGACACUUGUGCCACUGCAGCAGCCAUGCUGACCUCUUCUGCACUGCCAGGAAAUGACCAUUCCAGUCCACGAUGGGUACCUGCAAGAGUGAUCCAACCAGCCUUGGUUGUUCUGGCUUUAUCAUCAGCUUGUGGGGAAGCUGAGAGAACAAGAUGAAUGGAGCUUGUUUGGUUUGGGUUGUGGGCCAAUGCCAAUGUUGGAAUGUUCUAAUGUUGGGAGUGUUUCAUUUAGUGAUUCUUGUUCAUAUAAAACAAAAACCAGGGAGUUGUGGUCAGAGAAGGAUGGAGUUGAGCUGCAGGCCAUGGCACACACCCGCAGGAGCACAUGGAGCACAAAGAAGCACAUGGCAGCACAGAGAGGCUUGUCUCUGCCUGACCUUGGGGAGAGGAGGUGCCAUGUGGCAGAGCCCUGCAGAGAGCAGCCUGCCAGAAGCUGACAGACGGGUGAACAGCCGUGACCACCCCACAGAAGGAUAGUAAGAAAGCGUGUUGCUGACGUGGCCAUGGGUGAUAGGUCACUUAGUGAGAAUUACCAUGUAAGGAAAUACUGUGUCUUGAAGAAGUGUAUAAAACCAGCUUGUUUCUUUGAAUAACAAUUCUGAUUCCUUGAUGGUCUGAGUCCGUGCCUCAGUUGUUACACAUAAUAACAUUCUACCUUACAGGGCCUUGGAAAGCCUUAUUUAGACAAUAAAGGCUCUAAGAUUUGUGUAAGAGGAAAAUUAAAUCAACAUCCUAUUGUAAAGUUGGAGUUACUGCACACACUUUUUUCUAAGUAUAUUCAGCCUCUUUGUGAAUGUCUGCAAAUACAUUCCAGCCUUCCUAACGAGGCUCAUCUCAGUAGGGAAGAAGUCACUUGCAGUUGUGGAAAAGUCAGAUUUAAUUUUCUGCAUAACCUCCAUUGACCUCUUCACAUCCACUAUUGGCACUGAAUGUGGAAAAAGCUAUGUGGCUGUAUAAUUACAGAGUGCAGUGAGGUGGCCCUGCCCAGGUACUGCUCCCCAGGUGAGGGGGAUAUGCAGCAUGCCUUGAGCCUGGUCCCAGGGAUGAAGAAAGAGUCUGAGGGGAGAUCAGGCAAUUUAAUCUCCA
Long non-coding RNA from Passer domesticus (house sparrow), 7047 nucleotides. RefSeq lists it as uncharacterized. NCBI's taxonomy places the organism in Eukaryota, Metazoa, Chordata, Aves, Passeriformes, Passeridae. The record is from RefSeq and is a predicted model, not a curated record. The transcript is spliced from 4 exons.